This 404-nucleotide ribosomal RNA is filed under the name Verrucomicrobiota bacterium. Its description in RNAcentral is "Verrucomicrobia bacterium partial 16S ribosomal RNA". It matches the Rfam family "Bacterial small subunit ribosomal RNA", at positions 355 to 776 of the family's 1533-position model. The record is from RNAcentral. Lineage: Bacteria; Pseudomonadati; Verrucomicrobiota.
UGGGGAAUAUUGGACAAUGGGCGCAAGCCUGAUCCAGCCAUGCCGCGUGAGUGAUGAAGGCCCUAGGGUUGUAAAGCUCUUUCACCGGUGAAGAUAAUGACGGUAACCGGAGAAGAAGCCCCGGCUAACUUCGUGCCAGCAGCCGCGGUAAUACGAAGGGGGCUAGCGUUGUUCGGAUUUACUGGGAGUAAAGCGCACGUAGGCGGACUUUUAAGUCAGGGGUGAAAUCCCGGGGCUCAACCCCGGAACUGCCUUUGAUACUGGAAGUCUUGAGUAUGGUAGAGGUGAGUGGAAUUCCGGGUGUAGAGGUGAAAGUCGUAGAUAUUCGGAGGAACACCAGUGGCGAAGGCGGCUCACUGGACCAAUACUGACGCUGAGGUGCGAAAGCGUGGGGAGCAAACAGG